AUGAAGAGAUUGGGACACUCUGUUGAAAUGGAAUGGUAUCUGUCAAAAGGCUUGAUCAGCACCGCACACAGACCUCUCACCGUGAAGGUGUGGCUCAACUCGAUCUGGUUUUUGCCUCUUUUAAAUGGUAUCCCGUGUGAGAGGCAGCUGGUGGAGUCUGGGGGAGGCUUGGUGAAGCCUGGGAGUUCUCUGAGACUCUCCUGCGCAGCCUCUGGAUUCAGCUUUGAUGAUGCCUGCAUGCACUGGGUGCGCCAGCCUCCCGGGAAGGGGCUGGAAUGGGUUGCUACCAGUAGAAACCAAGCCGAUAGUUUCACCACAGAGUACAGCCUAUUUGUGGAGCACCGGUUCACCAUCUCCAGAGAGAAUUCCCAAAACAUCCUCUACUUUCAAAUGAACAGCCUGAGAGUUGAGGACACUGCAACUUACUACUGUAGAGGAGAGAGACACAUUGAGGGCAGUGCCUGUGAGCCCCGACACAAACCUCCUUGCAGAGGUGUUCAGCACCAACAGGGGGCGCGCAUGGUCAGAAAAAGAGAAAAGGCCUUGCCUCUCCAUGUACUAAUUUUCCUUAGGAAAGUUCUCUGGAGCGUUUACAAUGCUGUAUUAAUGCACAAGUCCCUGCCUUGGAAAGUGGCCACUAAACAGAAUGGCUGA
Psammomys obesus (fat sand rat) is the source of this 654-nucleotide non-coding RNA. Lineage: Eukaryota; Metazoa; Chordata; Mammalia; Rodentia; Muridae. The record is from the annotation of a RefSeq genome assembly.